AGACAUUGAAAACCUGGUUAAACAUAGUUUUACCUAAUGAAAUGGACAAUUAUCAGAGUAGUGUAAAUUGAUCUAUGACCAGUACUGCCAUUACUGAAAUUUUUCUUAUCUUUUGUGCUUUCCAGAACGGAAAAGGAAAAGAAAAAUACAUUGUAUGGAAACCAUAUACUAUGUCUGGGGGAAAGAAAAAAGCUUCUUUAAAAACACCACAGCCUUUGAAAAACUGAGAUUACUUCACAUCAAAACAGAGAAAGUGUAAAUAGCAAAAGUCUUUAUUUGAAACUUCAUUUGGAAAUUAAGACUCUCAUAUUUCCAAAAUAUAUUAUCAUAAGGUAAGAUUUUGUGUCCCUUUAUUUUUGGAAGUAAGUAGCUUGCUUUCCACAAAGCAAAACCUGUUGAAUUAUGUUUAUAAAAUAUUACUUUGGAA
This 427-nucleotide long non-coding RNA is filed under the name Panthera leo (lion). RNAcentral describes it as "lncRNA (ENSPLOG00000006164.1)". Lineage: Eukaryota; Metazoa; Chordata; Mammalia; Carnivora; Felidae. The record is from RNAcentral.